AGAGGGAGCCUGAGAAACGGCUACCACUUCCACGGAAGGCAGCAGGCGCGUAAAUUACCCAAUCCUGAUUCAGGGAGGUAGUGACAAGAAAUAAUGGGUCGGGGUUUUUCCCCGGGACUGCAAUGAGAUGAAUUUAGACCCCUUAUCGAGGACCAAUUGGAGGGCAAGUCUGGUGCCAGCAGCCGCGGUAAUUCCAGCUCCAAUAGCGUAUAUUAAAGUUGUUGCAGUUAAAAAGCUCGUAGUUGGAUUUCUGGUAGAAGGUUAGAGCGCACCUGCGUGAUGCUCGCGUCUUCUGCCAUCCUUCUGUUAACCUUUCUUGACAUUGACUUGUCGGUUUGGGGCUCAGAUAUUUUACCUUGAGAAAAUUAGAGUGUUUCAGGCAGGCUUGUGCCCGGAUACAUUAGCAUGGAAUAAUAGAACAGGACUUUAGCCUCUUCUGUUGGUCUGAGGGGUUGAAGUAAUGAUUAAUAGGGAUAGUUGGGGGCAUUAGUACUUAACUGUCAGAGGUGAAAUUCUCGGAUUUGUUAAAGACUAACUUAUGCGAAAGCAUUUGCCAAGGAUGUUUUCAUUAAUCAAGAACGAAAGUUAGGGGAUCAAAGACGAUCAGAUACCGUCCUAGUCUUAACCAUAAACUAUGCCGACUCGGGAUCGGGGGCUAGAGUUAACUGCCUUCGGCACCGUAUGAGAAAUCAAAGUCUUUGGGUUCUGGGGGGGAGUAUGGUCGCAAGGCUGAAACUUAAAGGAAUUGACGGAAGGGCACCACCAGGCGUGGAGCUUGCGGCUCAAUUUGACUCAACACGGGGAAACUUACCAGGUCCAGACAUAGUGAGGAUUGACAGAUUGAUAGCUCUUUCUUGAUUCUAUGGGKGGYGGSGCAYSGCCCSYYCUUAGUUGGUGGAGUGAUUUGUCUGGUUAAUUCCGUUAACGAACGAGACCUUAGCCUACUAAUAGUCGCAACAAUACUCAUUGGCUGCGACUUCUUAGAGGGACUUGCAAGCAACUGCAAGGAAGUUGAGGCAAUAACAGGUCUGUGAUGCCCUUUAGAUGUCCUGGGCCGCACGCGUGCUACACUGAUGCAUACAGCGAGUACUACCAGCUCCGUAAGGCUGCCGGUAAUCAGCAAUAUGCAUCGUGCUGGGGAUAGAUCUUUGGAAUUUUUGAUCUGAACGAGGAAUGCCUAGUAAGCGUGGUCAUCAAACCGCGUUGAUUAAGUCUGCCCUUUGUACACACCGCCCGUCGCUCCUACCGAUUUCGAGUGGUCCGGUGAACCCUUUGGACUGAAGAUGUCUCGYGCAUUUAGAAAGUCGAGUAAACCACWCA
This 1320-nucleotide ribosomal RNA is filed under the name Tintinnopsis sp. A type II. Its description in RNAcentral is "SSU rRNA". It matches the Rfam family "Eukaryotic small subunit ribosomal RNA", at positions 389 to 1790 of the family's 1831-position model. The record is from RNAcentral. Lineage: Eukaryota; Ciliophora; Spirotrichea; Tintinnida; Codonellidae.